GAUGAACGCUGGCGGCGUGCCUAAUACAUGCAAGUCGAGCGAACGGACGAGAAGCUUGCUUCUCUGAUGUUAGCGGCGGACGGGUGAGUAACACGUGGAUAACCUACCUAUAAGACUGGGAUAACUUCGGGAAACCGUAUCUAAUACCGGAUAAUAUUUUGAACCGCAUGGUUCAAAAGUGAAAGACGGUCUUGCUGUCACUUAUAGCUGGAUCCGCGCUGCAUUAGCUAGUUGGUAAGGUAACGGCUUACCAAGGCAACGAUGCAUAGCCGACCUGAGAGGGUGAUCGGCCACACUGGAACUGAGACACGGUCCAGAGUCCUACGGGAAGCAGCAGUAGGGAAUCUUCCGCAAUGGGCGAAAGCCUGACGGAGCAACGCCGCGUGAGUGAUGAAGGUCUUCGGAUCGUAAAACUCUGUUAUUAGGGAAGAACAUAUGUGUAAUGAACUGUGCACAGCUUGACGGUACCUAAUCAGAAAGCCACGGCUAACUACGUG
This 497-nucleotide ribosomal RNA is filed under the name uncultured bacterium. Its description in RNAcentral is "partial 16S ribosomal RNA". It matches the Rfam family "Bacterial small subunit ribosomal RNA", at positions 28 to 507 of the family's 1533-position model. The record is from RNAcentral.